Molecule: transfer RNA, 76 nt
Filed under: Planctomycetaceae bacterium
Lineage: Bacteria; Pseudomonadati; Planctomycetota; Planctomycetia; Planctomycetales; Planctomycetaceae
Also listed under: 1 other name
Description: tRNA-Val
Rfam family: tRNA
About the family: Transfer RNA (tRNA) molecules are approximately 80 nucleotides in length.
Source: RNAcentral
GGGCGUAUAGCUCAGCGGUUAGAGCGCCUGCCUUACAAGCAGGAUGUCGCUGGUUCGAAUCCGGCUACGCCCACCA